RNAcentral lists this ribosomal RNA (379 nucleotides) under uncultured bacterium. Its description in RNAcentral is "bacterial SSU rRNA". It matches the Rfam family "Bacterial small subunit ribosomal RNA", at positions 30 to 410 of the family's 1533-position model. The record is from RNAcentral.
AUUGAACGCUGGCGGCAUGCCUUACACAUGCAAGUCGAACGGCAGCACGGGAGCAAUCCUGGUGGCGAGUGGCGAACGGGUGAGUAAUAUAUCGGAACGUGCCCAGUCGUGGGGAUAACGUAGCGAAAGCUACGCUAAUACCGCAUACGAUCUACGGAUGUAAGCGGGGGAUCGCAAGACCUCGCGCGAUUGGAGCGGCCGAUAUCAGAUUAGGUAGUUGGUGAGGUAAAGGCUCACCAAGCCGACGAUCUGUAGCUGGUCUGAGAGGACGACCAGCCACACUGGGACUGAGACACGGCCCAGACUCCUACGGGAGGCAGCAGUGGGGAAUUUUGGACAAUGGGCGCAAGCCUGAUCCAGCAAUGCCGCGUGCAGGAUG